UGGGGAAUAUUGGACAAUGGGCGCAAGCCUGAUCCAGCCAUGCCGCGUGAGUGAUGAAGGCCUUAGGGUUGUAAAGCUCUUUUAUCCGGGACGAUAAUGACGGUACCGGAAGAAUAAGCCCCGGCUAACUUCGUGCCAGCAGCCGCGGUAAUACGAAGGGGGCUAGCGUUGCUCGGAAUCACUGGGCGUAAAGGGCGCGUAGGCGGACAUUUAAGUCAGGGGUGAAAUCCCGGGGCUCAACCUCGGAAUUGCCUUUGAUACUGGGUGUCUCGAGACCGGAAGAGGUAAGUGGAACUGCGAGUGUAGAGGUGAAAUGCGUAGAUAUUCGCAAGAACACCAGUGGCGAAGGCGGCUUACUGGUCCGGUUCUGACGCUGAGGCGCGAAAGCGUGGGGAGCAAACA
Molecule: ribosomal RNA, 402 nt
Filed under: uncultured prokaryote
Description: bacterial SSU rRNA
Rfam family: Bacterial small subunit ribosomal RNA
Source: RNAcentral